Molecule: unclassified non-coding RNA, 430 nt
Filed under: Hevea brasiliensis (rubber tree)
Lineage: Eukaryota; Viridiplantae; Streptophyta; Magnoliopsida; Malpighiales; Euphorbiaceae
Source: RNAcentral
AAGAAAAGGUUAGUACUUAAUCUUCCCAUUUUCCUUCAUUAAUUCUUGUUUAGAGCUUUGGAUGAGUUGAUUUGCUAAGAAAAAUUGAGGAAAUUGAUGAGUAUUUGGGGAGCUAUGAAUUCGGCAGCCAUGAAAAGCGUAGGAGUUUGAUAGAUUUUUACAUGUAAUUAAUGAUUAGUGAGGUUGAUUAAGUAGUUACAUGCAUUAGAAUUUAAUGGUAUGUGUAAGUUUGAGGUUGACUAAUUUGAAUUGGGGCUUGAAACAAUUAUUGAAGACUUGUUUAAUUGCCUCAUUUUGGGCUGCCUUGAUUUCCAUGAGAAUUUGGUUAAUUCAUGUAUGUAAGUGAUGAUUUGUGAUGUGGAUUAAAGUAAUUAUAUAUUUUAGAAAUUAAUUGCAUUGUAAGUUUGAGGUUUGACAAAUUGAGUUAGGG